AAAGAGUAUACAUAUAACUGUAAGCAGUGGGAUAAUAUCAUAAUGCUGUUUUGUUUUCAAUGAGGCAUCUUCUAUUUAAAUCUUUGUUUCUUGGCCUUUCCUUCUCUCUUUCCCUAUUCUCCAUACCCUCACCUGCACCCCAGCUAAUCCAUGCUAACCACUGGGUAUUCAUAUCUCCAUGACUUUUUUCAUUUCGUGCUCAUAAAAUUGUGUAUUGUGUUUGGCUCCCCAUAACGGUGACCCAACUAAAGAGGCUUAGUCAUUUAGGGGUUUAUUCUUGUCUCUAAGAGUCUGGGGUUAGUAUGAAGGUUCCACAAAGGGAGUUUUCUGCCUGUAGUCUUUCACAGUCAUAUUUUCAAAGUCAUAAAAUGACAGCAAAAGCACUAGCUAAUCAUAUCCUGAUUCCAGAUAAGAAAAGGGGAACACCAGGGGCAAAAGGAACUUCACCAAACACUUCAUCUAAAACUUCCACUUAAAUCUCAUUGGCCACUUCUGCCGCAGUCUGGCUGGGCACAAAUCACGAGCCACUCAAGCAGGAACAAACUUUAUUUCCGAACUCACGCGAACACCACCCACGCGGCCCUCUACACACACUUCCCGGGAACAUACUGCCUCCACCGGGCUCCCCGUGCCAAUUCUCCCAGAACCCCGCGAGAACUCAACGGGAACUCCAAAGUAGCGGGCGCCCGAGGCAGCAGGAUCCGCCCUCAUCCCAGCAGGAUCCACCCUAAUUCCAGAGCCGCCCUAAUCCCAGAGCAGGGUUACCUUUCAACCAUUCCCUGUAGCAAAAUGCCAGGCGUCAUUCUGACUAAACUGUGGCUCUCAACAACUUCAAUCUGCAAGAAGAGACAAGAAAUGUUCUUCUCUUGGCACAUUGCUACCUCUGAUAAAGGAGGUUCUCUUAGCAAGAAAGAAAGAGAAUAGAUUUAGGUAAACAACGGGCCAUCCAUUGAGAGGGAGAAGGGGAGAGAGAGAGAGAGAAGGUUUUUG
This 990-nucleotide long non-coding RNA is filed under the name Marmota monax (woodchuck). Lineage: Eukaryota; Metazoa; Chordata; Mammalia; Rodentia; Sciuridae. The record is from RNAcentral.